Molecule: ribosomal RNA, 429 nt
Filed under: Actinomycetes bacterium
Lineage: Bacteria; Bacillati; Actinomycetota; Actinomycetes
Description: Actinobacteria bacterium partial 16S ribosomal RNA
Rfam family: Bacterial small subunit ribosomal RNA
Source: RNAcentral
UAGGGAAUCUUCCGCAAUGGGCGAAAGCUUGACGGAGCAACGCCGCGUGAGUGAUGAAGGUCUUCGGAUCGUAAAACUCUGUUAUUAGGGAAGAACAAAUGUGUAAGUAACUAUGCACGUCUUGACGGUACCUAAUCAGAAAGCCACGGCUAACUACGUGCCAGCAGCCGCGGUAAUACGUAGGUGGCAAGCGUUAUCCGGUAUUAUUGGGCGUAAAGCGCGCGUAGGCGGUUUUUUAAGUCUGAUGUGAAAGCCCACGGCUCAACCGUGGAGGGUCAUUGGAAACUGGAAAACUUGAGUGCAGAAGAGGAAAGUGGAAUUCCAUGUGUAGCGGUGAAAUGCGCAGAGAUAUGGAGGAACACCAGUGGCGAAGGCGACUUUCUGGUCUAUAACUAACGCUGAUGUGCGAAAGCGUGGGGAUCAAACAGG